GAACGCUGGCGGCGCGCCUAACACAUGCAAGUCGAACGAGCGAGAGAGAGCUUGCUUUCUUGAGCGAGUGGCGAACGGGUGAGUAACGCGUGAGGAACCUGCCUCAAAGAGGGGGACAACAGUUGGAAACGACUGCUAAUACCGCAUAAGCCCACGGUGCCGCAUGGCACAGAGGGAAAAGGAGCAAUCCGCUUUGAGAUGGCCUCGCGUCCGAUUAGCUAGUUGGUGAGGUAACGGCCCACCAAGGCGACGAUCGGUAGCCGGACUGAGAGGUUGAACGGCCACAUUGGGACUGAGACACGGCCCAGACUCCUACGGGAGGCAGCAGUGGGGAAUAUUGCACAAUGGGGGAAACCCUGAUGCAGCGACGCCGCGUGGAGGAAGAAGGUCUUCGGAUUGUAAACUCCUGUUGUUGGGGAAGAUAAUGACGGUACCCAACAAGGAAGUGACGGCUAACUACGUG
This 463-nucleotide ribosomal RNA is filed under the name uncultured bacterium. RNAcentral describes it as "partial 16S ribosomal RNA". It matches the Rfam family "Bacterial small subunit ribosomal RNA", at positions 31 to 507 of the family's 1533-position model. The record is from RNAcentral.